AAUAGAUACCCAGGUAGUCCUAGCUGUAAACGAUGAGCACUGGGUUGAGGGGACUUCCACAUCCUCUCGGCCGUAGCGAAAGCGUUAAGUGCUCCGCCUGGGGAGUAUGGCCGCAAGGCUGAAACUCAAAGGAAUUGACGGGGGCUCACACAAGCGGUGGAGGAUGUGGCUUAAUUCGAGGCUACGCGAAGAACCUUAUCCUAGAUUUGACAUGGUUGAGAAUCUCCUUGAAAGAGGAGAGUGCCCUUCGGGGAGCUCUUUCACAGGUGCUGCAUGGCUGUCGUCAGCUCGUGUCGUGAGAUGUUGGGUUAAGUCCCUUAACGAGCGAAACCCUUAUCUUUAGUUGCCAGCGGGUCAAGCCGGGGACUCUAAAGAGACUGCCGGUGUCAAACCGGGAGGAAGGUGGGGAUGACGUCAAGUCCCCAUGGCCUUUAUGUCUAGGGCUGCACACGUCCUACAAUGGCACGUACAAAGGGAAGCCAAGCCGCGAGGCCGCGCUAAUCCCAAAAAGCGUGCCCCAGUUCGGAUUGCAGG
This 534-nucleotide ribosomal RNA is filed under the name uncultured bacterium. RNAcentral describes it as "bacterial SSU rRNA". It matches the Rfam family "Bacterial small subunit ribosomal RNA", at positions 777 to 1304 of the family's 1533-position model. The record is from RNAcentral.